This is a long non-coding RNA of Salvia miltiorrhiza (redroot sage), 310 nucleotides long. RefSeq lists it as uncharacterized. The transcript is spliced from 2 exons. The record is from RefSeq and is a predicted model, not a curated record. Lineage: Eukaryota; Viridiplantae; Streptophyta; Magnoliopsida; Lamiales; Lamiaceae.
CUGGAUUUCUGUUUUUGUUUUGGAAAUUUUAGAAGUGUGUUGAAUUGCUAUGAACUGUGCACUAUUCAUGGUGGUGUUUGCUGAUUACAGGUGCCCCAAGUGCGUAGAACUAAAGCUUCGCCGUGAAGGUGCUGCUUUCUGUUCCCAAGAGUGUUUCAAGGCAUCCUGGAGUUCCCAUAAAUCUGUUCACUUGAAUGCAAAAUCUUCUUUAAUUGCAUCUGAAAGUUAUAGUGAACAGAACUUGGGUCUGCCGGGUGACGGCUGGCUCUACUGCUUGAUAGAAGGACAAGCACAGACACCAAAACUUCCA